Molecule: small nucleolar RNA, 120 nt
Filed under: Sorex araneus (European shrew)
Lineage: Eukaryota; Metazoa; Chordata; Mammalia; Eulipotyphla; Soricidae
Source: RNAcentral
GAGCAAACUCAGUCAGUCUCUGCAUUAUGUUCAGAAGUGAGGAAAACCAAGUUUACUGCAGCGAUAGAAGCCUAUUAACUUCAGAGCUUACUGAGUUGCCUAUUUUAUUCUAGGACAGGG